AGUGUCGUGUUGUAGUUGGUUGUCACGUCAAUCUAACACACUAAAGGUCUCCGAUUCGAGUCCGGGCGACGCCA
RNAcentral lists this transfer RNA (74 nucleotides) under Tetracentron sinense. Its description in RNAcentral is "tRNA-Val". Lineage: Eukaryota; Viridiplantae; Streptophyta; Magnoliopsida; Trochodendrales; Trochodendraceae. The record is from RNAcentral.